This 424-nucleotide ribosomal RNA is filed under the name uncultured bacterium. RNAcentral describes it as "bacterial SSU rRNA". It matches the Rfam family "Bacterial small subunit ribosomal RNA", at positions 954 to 1392 of the family's 1533-position model. The record is from RNAcentral.
GCUUAACGCGAAGAACCUUACCCAGGCUUGACAUCCCUGGAAGGUCUCCGAAAGGAGACUGUGCCUUCGGGAAUCAGGUGACAGGUGCUGCAUGGCCGUCGUCAGCUCGUGUCGUGAGAUGUUUGGUUAAGUCCAUUAACGAGCGCAACCCUUGUAAGUAGUUGAAUUUUUCUACUUAGACCGCCUCGGUAACGGGGAGGAAGGAGGGGAUGAUGUCAGGUCAGUAUUGCCCUUACGCCUGGGGCUACAAACACGCUACAAUGGCCGGUACAAAGGGCAGCCAACCCGCGAGGGGAGCAAAUCCCAUCAAAACCGGUCCCAGUUCGGAUAGCAGGCUGAAAUUCGCCUGCUUGAAGUCGGAAUCGCUAGUAACGGUGAGUCAGCUAUAUUACCGUGAAUACGUUCCCGGGUCUUGUACACACCG